Molecule: ribosomal RNA, 444 nt
Filed under: Boana geographica (map treefrog)
Lineage: Eukaryota; Metazoa; Chordata; Amphibia; Anura; Hylidae
Description: partial large subunit ribosomal RNA
Rfam family: Bacterial large subunit ribosomal RNA
Source: RNAcentral
GCCGCGGUAUCCUAACCGUGCGAAGUAGCGUAAUCACUUGUUCUUUAAAUGAGGACUAGUAUGAAUGGCACCACGAGGGUUCUACUGUCUCCUUUUUUAAAUCAGUGAAACUAAUCUCCCCGUGAAGAAGCGGGGAUUUUUUUAUAAGACGAGAAGACCCUAUGGAGCUUUAAACAAACAUCAUUUGCUGCACAUAACUCUUUUUCCUUCAUUAAAUAUAGCAUUAUGACCUUUAGUUUUUGAUUGGGGUGAUCACGGAGUAAAAUGAAACCUCCACGCCGAAAGGGUUAAUACCCUGAGCAAAAAGCCACAACUUUAAGCACUAAAAAAUUAACGUAAUUUGACCCAAUAUUUUGAUCAACGGACCAAGUUACCCUAGGGAUAACAGCGCAAUCCACUUCAAGAGCUCCUAUCGACAAGUGGGUUUACGACCUCGAUGUUGGA